RNAcentral lists this transfer RNA (72 nucleotides) under Heterocephalus glaber (naked mole-rat). It matches the Rfam family "tRNA". Rfam says of the family: Transfer RNA (tRNA) molecules are approximately 80 nucleotides in length. Their secondary structure includes four short double-helical elements and three loops (D, anti-codon, and T loops). Further hydrogen bonds mediate the characteristic L-shaped molecular structure. tRNAs have two regions of fundamental functional importance: the anti-codon, which is responsible for specific mRNA codon recognition, and the 3' end, to which the tRNAs corresponding amino acid is attached (by aminoacyl-tRNA synthetases). tRNAs cope with the degeneracy of the genetic code in two manners: having more than one tRNA (with a specific anti-codon) for a particular amino acid; and 'wobble' base-pairing, i.e. permitting non-standard base-pairing at the 3rd anti-codon position. The record is from Rfam by way of RNAcentral. Lineage: Eukaryota; Metazoa; Chordata; Mammalia; Rodentia; Bathyergidae.
UGGAAUAUAGCUCAGUGGUAGAGCACUUGCCUAGAAUGCAUCAGGCCCUCAGUUCAAUUCCUAGUACCCCAG